AGUGAACGCUGGCGGUAGGCCUAACACAUGCAAGUCGAACGGCAGCACAGAGGAGCUUGCUCCUUGGGUGGCGAGUGGCGGACGGGUGAGGAAUACAUCGGAAUCCACUCUGUCGUGGGGGAUAACGUAGGGAAACUUACGCUAAUACCGCAUACGACCUACGGGUGAAAGCAGGGGAUCUUCGGACCUUGCGCGAUUGAAUGAGCCGAUGUCGGAUUAGCUAGUUGGCGGGGUAAAGGCCCACCAAGGCGACGAUCCGUAGCUGGUCUGAGAGGACGACCAGCCAAACUGGGACUGAGACACGGCCCAGACUCCUACGGGAGGCAGCAGUGGGGAAUUUUGGACAAUGGGGGCAACCCUGAUCCAGCCAUUCCGCGUGUGGGAAGAAGGCCUUCGGGUUGUAAACCACUUUCGGACGGGAAGAAAUCGACGUGACGAAUAAUCGUGUCGGAUGACGGUACCGUAAGAAGAAGCACCGGCUAACUACGUGCCAGCCGCCGCUGUAA
Molecule: ribosomal RNA, 506 nt
Filed under: uncultured bacterium
Lineage: Bacteria
Description: partial 16S ribosomal RNA
Rfam family: Bacterial small subunit ribosomal RNA
Source: RNAcentral